AGCAGUACCGCGGGAAUACGAAGGGUGCAAGCGUUGUUCGGAUUUACUGGGCGUAAAGGGCGCGUAGGCGGCGCGGUAAGUCACUUGUGAAAUCUCUGAGCUUAACCCAGAACGGCCAAGUGAUACUGCUGUGCUAGAGUGCGGAAGAGGCAACCGGAAUUCUUGGUGUAGCGGUGAAAUGCGUAGAUAUCAAGAGGAACACCUGAGGCGAAGGCGGGUUGCUGGGCCGACACUGACGCUGAUGCGCGAAAGCCAGGGGAGCAAACGGGAUUAGAGACCCCAGUAGUCCCUGUCUCUUAUACC
Molecule: ribosomal RNA, 303 nt
Filed under: uncultured bacterium
Lineage: Bacteria
Description: partial 16S ribosomal RNA
Rfam family: Bacterial small subunit ribosomal RNA
Source: RNAcentral